This 465-nucleotide ribosomal RNA is filed under the name uncultured bacterium. RNAcentral's name for it is "partial 16S ribosomal RNA". It matches the Rfam family "Bacterial small subunit ribosomal RNA", at positions 338 to 795 of the family's 1533-position model. The record is from RNAcentral.
CCUACGGGAGGCAGCAGUAGGGAAUCUUCCACAAUGGACGAAAGUCUGAUGGAGCAACGCCGCGUGAGUGAAGAAGGGUUUCGGCUCGUAAAGCUCUGUUGGUAGGGAAGAAAGAUAGAGGUAGUAACUGGCCUUUAUUUGACGGUAAUUACUUAGAAAGUCACGGCUAACUACGUGCCAGCAGCCGCGGUAAUACGUAGGUGGCAAGCGUUGUCCGGUUGUAUUGGGCGUAAAGCGAGUGCAGGCGGUUCAAUAAGUCUGAUGUGAAAGCGUUCGGCUCAACCGGGGAAUUGCAUCAGAAACUGGUGAACUUGAGUGCAGAAGAGGAGAGUGGAACUCCAUGUGUAGCGGUGGAAUGCGUAGAUAUAUGGAAGAACACCAGUGGCGAAGGCGGCUCUCUGGUCUGCAACUGACGCUGAGGCUCGAAAGCAUGGGUAGCGAACAGGAUUAGAUACCCGUGUAGUC